CCCUUAGAUGUCCGGGGCCGCACGCGCGCUACACUGAAGGAAUCAGCGUGGCUUUCUCCCUGACCCGAAAGGGUUGGGAAACCCGUUGAAUCUCCUUCGUGAUAGGGAUUGGGGCUUGAAAUUGUUCCCCAUGAACGAGGAAUUCCCAGUAAGCGCGAGUCAUAAGCUCGCGUUGAUUACGUCCCUGCCCUUUGUACACACCGCCCGUCGCUACUACCGAUUGAACGGUUUAGUGAGGGCCUCGGAUUGGUCUCGGCCCGCUCUUUACCGGGCGGCGCGGUUGGUCGAGAAGACGCUCGAACUUGAUCGUUUAGAGGAAGUAAAAGUCGUAACA
This 334-nucleotide ribosomal RNA is filed under the name uncultured eukaryote. RNAcentral's name for it is "partial 18S ribosomal RNA". It matches the Rfam family "Eukaryotic small subunit ribosomal RNA", at positions 1470 to 1796 of the family's 1831-position model. The record is from RNAcentral.